GACGAACGCUGGCGGCGUGCUUAACACAUGCAAGUCGUACGGAAAGGCCCUGCUUUUGUGGGGUGCUCGAGUGGCGAACGGGUGAGUAACACGUGAGUAACCUGCCCUUGACUUUGGGAUAACUUCAGGAAACUGGGGCUAAUACCGGAUAGGAGCUCCUGCUGCAUGGUGGGGGUUGGAAAGUUACGGCGGUUGGGGAUGGACUCGCGGCUUAUCAGCUUGUUGGUGGGGUAGUGGCUUACCAAGGCUUUGACGGGUAGCCGGCCUGAGAGGGUGACCGGCCACAUUGGGACUGAGAUACGGCCCAGACUCCUACGGGAGGCAGCAGUGGGGAAUAUUGCACAAUGGGCGGAAGCCUGAUGCAGCAACGCCGCGUGCGGGAUGACGGCCUUCGGGUUGUAAACCGCUUUCGCCUGUGACGAAGCGUGAGUGACGGUAAUGGGUAAAGAAGCACCGGCUAACUACGUG
This 468-nucleotide ribosomal RNA is filed under the name uncultured bacterium. RNAcentral's name for it is "partial 16S ribosomal RNA". It matches the Rfam family "Bacterial small subunit ribosomal RNA", at positions 28 to 507 of the family's 1533-position model. The record is from RNAcentral.